GAGUUGCGAACGGGUGAGUAACGCGUAGGUAACCUGCCUGGUAGCGGGGGAUAACUAUUGGAAACGAUAGCUAAUACCGCAUAAGAACAUUUACUGCAUGGUAGAUGUUUAAAAGGUGCAAAUGCAUCACUACCAGAUGGACCUGCGUUGUAUUAGCUAGUAGGUGAGGUAACGGCUCACCUAGGCGACGAUACAUAGCCGACCUGAGAGGGUGAUCGGCCACACUGGGACUGAGACACGGCCCAGACUCCUACGGGAGGCAGCAGUAGGGAAUCUUCGGCAAUGGGGGGAACCCUGACCGAGCAACGCCGCGUGAGUGAAGAAGGUUUUCGGAUCGUAAAGCUCUGUUGUUAAGGAAGAACGAGUGUGAGAAUGGAAAGUUCAUACUGUGACGGUACUUAACCAGAAAGGGACGGCUAACUACGUGCCAGCAGCCGCGGUAAUACGUAGGUCCCGAGCGUUGUCCGGAUUUAUUGGGCGUAAAGCGAGCGCAGGCGGUUAGAUAAGUCUGAAGUUAAAGGCAGUGGCUCAACCAUUGUAGGCUUUGGAAACUGUUUAACUUGAGUGCAGAAGGGGAGAGUGGAAUUCCAUGUGUAGCGGUGAAAUGCGUAGAUAUAUGGAGGAACACCGGUGGCGAAAGCGGCUCUCUGGUCUGUAACUGACGCUGAGGCUCGAAAGCGUGGGGAGCGAACAGGAUUAGAUACCCUGGUAGUCCACGCCGUAAACGAUGAGUGCUAGG
This 739-nucleotide ribosomal RNA is filed under the name Streptococcus intermedius. RNAcentral describes it as "bacterial SSU rRNA". It matches the Rfam family "Bacterial small subunit ribosomal RNA", at positions 93 to 820 of the family's 1533-position model. Lineage: Bacteria; Bacillati; Bacillota; Bacilli; Lactobacillales; Streptococcaceae. The record is from RNAcentral.